RNAcentral lists this ribosomal RNA (312 nucleotides) under Triticum aestivum (bread wheat). Its description in RNAcentral is "partial small subunit ribosomal RNA". The record is from RNAcentral. Lineage: Eukaryota; Viridiplantae; Streptophyta; Magnoliopsida; Poales; Poaceae.
AUGGCAGUACAUGAUUUUCAUUCAUGUUCAUUCGCUGCUUUGCUCCAAGUAAGCCUUUGUGUUUCAUUAGGCACCAUUUUCUUGCAUGCAAUGAAAGUGAUAUAUUUCUCCCUUCCCUCUUGGCCCACCACCAUUCUCUUCAUCCACCCUUACUCUAGCAUUGUUGGUGCUAGUCAUGGACUCAUAACUGUUGUUCCUAAUGGAUACACAUAUUCUUGCACUACUAUAUGCUUCUUGCCACAUCUUGGACGCAUAUAUCGCUCGCAUCAAAUUCUGACCGAAACACCAUGCAAUUAUAGUGCACAACUAUGA